This 460-nucleotide ribosomal RNA is filed under the name uncultured bacterium. RNAcentral describes it as "partial 16S ribosomal RNA". It matches the Rfam family "Bacterial small subunit ribosomal RNA", at positions 338 to 795 of the family's 1533-position model. The record is from RNAcentral.
CCUACGGGAGGCAGCAGUGAGGAAUAUUGGUCAAUGGGCGCAAGCCUGAACCAGCCAAGUCGCGUGAGGGAUGACGGUCCUAUGGAUUGUAAACCUCUUUUGUCGGGGAGCAAGGCCCGCCACGCGUGCCGGGAAGGAGAGUACCCGCAGAAUAAGCAUCGGCUAACUCCGUGCCAGCAGCCGCGGUAAUACGGAGGAUGCGAGCGUUAUCCGGAUUUAUUGGGUUUAAAGGGUGCGUAGGCGGAAGGUUAAGUCAGCGGUCAAAUGUCGGUGCUCAACACCGGCCUGCCGUUGAAACUGGUCGUCUUGAGUGAGCGAGAAGUAUGCGGAAUGCGUGGUGUAGCGGUGAAAUGCAUAGAUAUCACGCAGAACUCCGAUUGCGAAGGCAGCAUACCGGCGCCCAACUGACGCUGAGGCACGAAAGCGUGGGGAUCGAACAGGAUUAGAUACCCGAGUAGUC